Molecule: ribosomal RNA, 1075 nt
Filed under: Salmonella enterica
Lineage: Bacteria; Pseudomonadati; Pseudomonadota; Gammaproteobacteria; Enterobacterales; Enterobacteriaceae
Also listed under: 1 other name
Description: partial 23S ribosomal RNA
Rfam family: Bacterial large subunit ribosomal RNA
Source: RNAcentral
AGACCCGAAACCCGGUGAUCUAGCCAUGGGCAGGUUGAAGGUUGGGUAACACUAACUGGAGGACCGAACCGACUAAUGUUGAAAAAUUAGCGGAUGACCUGUGGCUGGGGGUGAAAGGCCAAUCAAACCGGGAGAUAGCUGGUUCUCCCCGAAAGCUAUUUAGGUAGCGCCUCGUGAAUUCAUCUCCGGGGGUAGAGCACUGUUUCGGCUAGGGGGCCAUCCCGGCUUACCAACCCGAUGCAAACUGCGAAUACCGGAGAAUGUUAUCACGGGAGACACACGGCGGGUGCUAACGUCCGUCGUGAAGAGGGAAACAACCCAGACCGCCAGCUAAGGUCCCAAAGUCAUGGUUAAGUGGGAAACGAUGUGGGAAGGCCCAGACAGCCAGGAUGUUGGCUUAGAAGCAGCCAUCAUUUAAAGAAAGCGUAAUAGCUCACUGGUCGAGUCGGCCUGCGCGGAAGAUGUAACGGGGCUAAACCAUGCACCGAAGCUGCGGCAGCGAACGUAUCACCCAAGACAACUUUACGGAGUUGACGAUUGACGGAGCGAAGCGACGUCAAAGCGUUCAUUAAAGUCGAGUUGGCUUAGGGAUACGUUCGUUGGGUAGGGGAGCGUUCUGUAAGCCUGUGAAGGUGUGUCGUGAGGCAUGCUGGAGGUAUCAGAAGUGCGAAUGCUGACAUAAGUAACGAUAAAGCGGGUGAAAAGCCCGCUCGCCGGAAGACCAAGGGUUCCUGUCCAACGUUAAUCGGGGCAGGGUGAGUCGACCCCUAAGGCGAGGCCGAAAGGCGUAGUCGAUGGGAAACGGGUUAAUAUUCCCGUACUUGGUGUUACUGCGAAGGGGGGACGGAGAAGGCUAUGUUGGCCGGGCGACGGUUGUCCCGGUUUAAGCGUGUAGGUGUGUGUUCCAGGUAAAUCCGGUUCACUUUAACACUGAGGCGUGACGACGAGGCACUACGGUGCUGAAGCAACAAAUGCCCUGCUUCCAGGAAAAGCCUCUAAGCAUCAGGUAACAUCAAAUCGUACCCCAAACCGACACAGGUGGUCAGGUAGAGAAUACCAAGGCGCUUGAGAGAAC